GAAACUCUGAUGCAGCCAUGCCGCGUGUGUGAAGAAGGCCUUCGGGUUGUAAAGCACUUUCAGUUGUGAGGAAAGGUUAGUAGUUAAUACCUGCUAGCUGUGACGUUAACAACAGAAGAAGCACCGGCUAACUCCGUGCCAGCAGCCGCGGUAAUACGGAGGGAGCUAGCGUUGUUCGGAAUUACUGGGCGUAAAGCGCUCGUAGGCGGAUUGGUCAGUCAGAGGUGAAAGCCCAGGGCUCAACCUUGGAAUUGCCUUUGAUACUGCCAGUCUUGAGUUCGGGAGAGGUGAGCGGAAUUCCGAGUGUAGAGGUGAAAUUCGUAGAUAU
RNAcentral lists this ribosomal RNA (328 nucleotides) under Heterosigma akashiwo. RNAcentral describes it as "partial Bacterial small subunit ribosomal RNA". It matches the Rfam family "Bacterial small subunit ribosomal RNA", at positions 377 to 697 of the family's 1533-position model. The record is from RNAcentral. Lineage: Eukaryota; Raphidophyceae; Chattonellales; Chattonellaceae.